GAUGAACGCUGGCGGCGUGCCUAAUACAUGCAAGUCGAGCGAACGGACGAGAAGCUUGCUUCUCUGAUGUUAGCGGCGGACGGGUGAGUAACACGUGGAUAACCUACCUAUAAGACUGGGAUAACUUCGGGAAACCGGAGCUAAUACCGGAUAAUAUUUUGAACCGCAUGGUUCAAAAGUGAAAGACGGUCUUGCUGUCACUUAUAGAUGGAUCCGCGCUGCAUUAGCUAGUUGGUAAGGUAACGGCUUACCAAGGCAACGAUGCAUAGCCGACCUGAGAGGGUGAUCGGCCCCACUGGAACUGAGACACGGUCCAGACUCCUACGGGAGGCAGCAGUAGGUAAUCUUCCGCAAUGGGCGAAAGCCUGACGGAGCAACGCCGCGUGAGUGAUGAAGGUCUUCGGAUCGUAAAACUCUGUUAUUAGGGAAGAACAUAUGUGUAAGUAACUGUGCACAUCUUGACGGUACCUAAUCAGAAAGCCACGGCUAACUACGU
Molecule: ribosomal RNA, 496 nt
Filed under: uncultured bacterium
Lineage: Bacteria
Description: partial 16S ribosomal RNA
Rfam family: Bacterial small subunit ribosomal RNA
Source: RNAcentral